RNAcentral lists this long non-coding RNA (2037 nucleotides) under Capsicum annuum. RNAcentral's name for it is "long non-coding RNA (CANN_LNC008853)". The record is from RNAcentral. Lineage: Eukaryota; Viridiplantae; Streptophyta; Magnoliopsida; Solanales; Solanaceae.
UCCCACACCUCCUCUAUAAUCCAUUGACGUGUCAAUUUGAUAUAUGUCCGUACAAUAUCCAAUAUUUUUGAGUCAUCAACUUUGGGGCUUUUUGUCUAAAAGUCACUUAUUACUUACAUUAUUGAGACUUCCAUGUGUUAACCAAGUAGAAUAUAAGAGCAAACUAGUUAAUAAUGUGUACCCCAUAUUCGAACACCUUAAUUAAGAGCUAAGCAAUAGGCAAACUUUAUAUCUCCCCUACAUAGUCUUGAUAAAAUGCAUAGAUCAUACUAUAUGUUUUGUUUCUUGGUACUAAUAUUUUUUAUGUUGUAGGGAGUACUUUGUGAAGACUCACAUGGAUGGCAAUGAACUUGAAGGUACAUUAUUUUGUUGUUCGAUAUUUAUAUUGAGAAUUUGUCCGAUAUAAAUUCAUAUUCUCUAAGGACUAGUCCAUCAAUUAAAGAGAAAAGUGCUUCCAACAGGAAGAAUUUUUUCCAUAUCCGAGAUUUGGACUCCGAAUCUUUGAUUAAGGGUGAAGAGAACUUAUUCAUCCACUACAACCUUUGUUGAUAAAUUUCAUGAUGUUGCUCUGACACUUCUCCGUUUUAAAUUGAAAUGCUCAUACUACUGGACAUGAUUCUCUUCUUGUUAAUAGACUUCAUAAGCUUAUAAGAGGUGAAAAAAGGUUUAUGAGUUUAUCCAAACUUAUUAUCGAAACAAUAUAUAUAAAAUUAAUUCCUAUGUUUGUAUAUUUUAAAAAUAUUGAACCCUCGCCCAGUGAAAAGCCCUCCUCCGCCACUGAUGAGUACUAUAACCAUGGAGGUUGAUUCAAAUACACAUACUUAUAUAGUCCAACAUAUAUGGGUGCUUUGGCACCACUUAGCUAGAGAGUACUAGUUCUUAGCACACCACAAUACACUACUAAAAACAAGUAAAUUGAAAAAAAAAAAUUAGAAACUAGUUAUGGAUUUGUCUCUAAAUAGAAUUUUGGUAGCUAAUUUAUUGCGAAAUUGGUGACAAUUUUUUAUUGUUUAGCAACAGAAUUGCUCAUCACGCGCCAUGGAUGACCGGAGAAGUGUUUCGAGGACUGAAGUGAUGGAAGAUGGUAUCUGGUUAUGUGGAGGCAAGUCACCUGCAAUUGGCUAUUUUUAGUGACUUUAAAUAUAUGUUGCAACCUUUAAAGUUUCUAGCAUUCAACUAAUUGUUGUAAUGUUGAUAUUAUAUUACAACUUAUGCUUUUUCUAUGUUAUCUUUAAAUGUGUGAAAAUUUGAAAUUUGUAUCCGAAUGAACAUAAAAAGAUUAGUAGUUGGUAAUUAGUUUUAUAUUCGUACUUUGAACCUCGCGACAUACAGAAUAUAGAAUGACUUGACGAAUAGGCUUAUCAGAGCUCAUGGUGGAUCGCUAAGAUUUAGUGCAAACAGGAGCAGACCCCGGAUUUAGAAAUUGUGAGUGUCCGGGAGAUUUGAAUACGCAUAUUAAUGUUCUAAGCUUUAGAGCUCCUAAGUUUUAAAAUUUCAUCUAGAAAUUAAAGCACCCAUUUAUUCUUGGUUUAAUGGGUGUUUUUUUAAGUCUUAUCAAUUUUUAUACAUUUUUUAUAUAAUUAUAUCUAAUCUGCAUUAAAUUUAAUGGAUAUCGAAGCAUCCUAAAAUUGACCUUAGAUCCGCCCCUGAGUACAAAUAUCUUGGUCGAUGUAUAGGGUAAAAUCUAUGUAAGGAUACAUCACAUGAUCAAGAAAGACUGCUUGAAGAUUCGGCACAACAAACGAGGGCAGAUACUACGAGAAGCCUCUCUCGAGUUAAUGACAAAGGAAGCGCUUUCUCGUGAAGGAGAAGGACUCGAUUGUUCACUACCCUGGUGACAUAGAGGACAAAUAGGGAAAAAAUGUGUCUGCUCAGGUGCGUGGACGAACUCGUACGGAGUUAAGCAUUGCAGGGUUAAUAGUUGUCUCAUUAACGGAGCAAACACAUGGCGUGUCAGCAUAGGUAUUAGUCCUUUAGGACUCUAUUGUUAAAAUCUAAUUGGUCAAAAUCUGAUGUUGUAACCUAUAUAGCUGCCCC